RNAcentral lists this long non-coding RNA (550 nucleotides) under Coturnix japonica (Japanese quail). RNAcentral's name for it is "lncRNA (ENSCJPG00005002536.1)". Lineage: Eukaryota; Metazoa; Chordata; Aves; Galliformes; Phasianidae. The record is from RNAcentral.
AAUUCCUCUGCUAGCAACACAGCUCAGUGAGGGUCACAGGCCCAAAAUGUAUACCACCCCUAUUCUCACCUGUCUCUUAAGCAGGGAAAUUUAAACUAAUUGUCAAAAUAAGCAGAGUUUUUUCAGAUUGAAACAACAGAGGAAUAACACUUCUCUCUCUUGUGUCUUCUACAGUGUAACACAGCAGAGAAAGUAAAGACCAGGGAUAAACAAAUUAAGAGUGCCACCAGUGUUCUGAAGACAAUAUUUUUGAGCUUCAUCACUGAAAUAAAGAUUUGAGAAAUCACCAAUGAACAGCUCAAAUCCACUAGAAAGUCAAGUUUGGGCCCACAUGCAGAUUCUCACAUGAGGCUUUCACAUGUUGGAUUGUAUAUACCUGGUGGUUUACCCUUGGCAAACAGCCCAGUUCCCACCCAGCCAGCAAUCCAAUCCUAACAUUUAAAGGGACAGAGAGAGAAAAUGAGAAAAUUUAUGCACUGAGAUAACGGUGAGUAAAUUGUUUACCAACUAUGGACACAAAGCAGAACUGAUUCCACUUGGAAAAAUCAAU